This 380-nucleotide ribosomal RNA is filed under the name uncultured eukaryote. RNAcentral describes it as "partial 18S ribosomal RNA". It matches the Rfam family "Eukaryotic small subunit ribosomal RNA", at positions 592 to 976 of the family's 1831-position model. The record is from RNAcentral.
CAAUAGCGUAUAUUAAAGCUGUUGCGGUUAAAAAGCUCGUAGUUGGAUUUCUGUCAAGUACAACUGGUCCGCCCUCCGGGUGAGCACAUAGUUUGGUCUUGGCAUCUUGCUGGAAAUUGUUGCUGCACUUGGCUGUGUGGCGCAGUGUCCAGCACUUUCACUUUGAGGAAAUUGGAGUGUUUCAAGCAGGCAAUGCCUUUGAACACAGUAGUAUGGAAUAAUUAGAUUGGGCUUUUGCUCCAAUUUGUCGGUUUCUGGAGCUGAGGUGAGAAUUAAUGGGGAUUGUUGGGGGCAUCCGAAUUUAGCCGUCAGAGGUGAAAUUCUUGGAUCGGCUAAAGACGGACAACUGCGAAAGCGUUUGCCCAGGAUGUUUUCAUUGA